CUAUGCUUCCGCCAGCGGUCCCCUCAUUGGGGCCCUAGCUCCAGUGGGAGUCAGGCUUCAUUGCUCUGAAUGCCACUGGCGCCCUGUCUCGGUGAAGCUUUGCUGAUCCGUGCCUGGGGCCCCGGCAAUCCUUUGGAUUCCGGAGGGGUGUCCCACCACCUCGAUCCCGUCCCUCGAGGAACGACUCGAUGA
RNAcentral lists this non-coding RNA (192 nucleotides) under uncultured Synechococcus sp. RNAcentral's name for it is "psaA RNA". It matches the Rfam family "psaA RNA". Lineage: Bacteria; Bacillati; Cyanobacteriota; Cyanophyceae; Synechococcales; Synechococcaceae. The record is from RNAcentral.